CAAAAACAUAGCCUGUUGGGUUUUAUAACAGGUGUUUUCUGCCCGGUGUGCUUGUGCAUAAACGGCCGCGGUACUCUGACCGUGCAAAGGUAGCAUAAUCAUUUGUCCUUUAAUUGGGGGCUGGAAUGAAUGGAAGGUUUGAAGGCCCAACUGUCUCUUUUUUUCUUUUGUAACUUGCUGUCCCUGUGAAGAAGCAGGGUUGUUUGAGAGGGACAAGAAGACCCUAUUAAGCUUUACCUUUAAGCGUUCUCUUUGUGUAAUACAUAUCGGCGAGUUGAAAAGAAGGUUUGGUUGGGGUGACCGGAGAAGAUUCGAAUCUUCUCCGUCUGUGAUACUUUGAGUUUAACGGUGACCCAGGAAAUCCUGGUUGAAAGAAAUAGUUACUAUAGGGAUAACAGCGUAAUCUUUUCGUAAAGUUCUUAUUGAGGAAAAGGAUUGCGACCUCGAUGUUGACUUGUCUUCUCCUUUAUAGGUGCAGUAGCUGUGAGGGUUGGUCUGUUCGACCAUUAAAAUGAC
Molecule: ribosomal RNA, 516 nt
Filed under: Cerebratulus lacteus (milky ribbon-worm)
Lineage: Eukaryota; Metazoa; Nemertea; Pilidiophora; Heteronemertea; Lineidae
Description: partial 16S ribosomal RNA
Rfam family: Archaeal large subunit ribosomal RNA
Source: RNAcentral